Long non-coding RNA from Alosa alosa (allis shad), 690 nucleotides. RefSeq lists it as uncharacterized. Lineage: Eukaryota; Metazoa; Chordata; Actinopteri; Clupeiformes; Clupeidae. The record is from RefSeq and is a predicted model, not a curated record. The transcript has 3 exons.
CCCAGUAGACCUACACGAUGCCAGGAAUGAUGUAGCCGAUCCGGGAUGCUAAUUUGAGCAACACAUUUCAACAGGGACAACUUGAUGGGUAUGCUACUGGGGGAUAGAGGAUAGGCUACCCAUGCCUUCCGACAUUCAUCACCCUUCCGAUGCUGGAACGCAAAGGCAAAGGCAGGAGCUGGCGUUGCGUCUGGACUUUGACAUCCCGUCAGCGGAGAAGCACUUCCUGGAGAAGAGGAAGGUGGUGGUGGGUCGGGCUCUACAGAAGCUGCUGGAGCUCAGCUCUCCUCCAGACACAGAUAAGGUACUGUGUGUGUGUCAGUGUCAGCUCUCCUCCAGACACAGAUAAGGUACAGUGUGUGUGUGUAUGGUGUGUGUGUGCAUGGUGCAUUUACCACACAUACAAAUAUGACAACGCAAAAGGAGAAGUUGCUUGCAGCUCGUAUACCAAUGUAUUGAAACAUCCAUUUGAUAUUUUUUGUUAAAUAUAUUAUUACAUGACAUAACACUAUAUUAUUACUGGUUUUGAACAAUUUUGCAACAAGAGAUUUUUUGCAAGAGAUAUCUGCCCAGGCCCCCCUAGUGGGUGUGGUUUGCUCAGGGGGAGGGACCAGGGCGAUGACUGGCAUCUUUGGGAGUCUGAGGGGCCGUUUAUACGAGGACGAUUGCGAAGGAAGACAACAAAAUAUU